AUUGAACGCUGGCGGCAGGCUUAACACAUGCAAGUCGAGCGGAUAUGAGGUGCUUGCACCUUAUCUUAGCGGCGGACGGGUGAGUAAUGCUUAGGAAUCUGCCUAUUAGUGGGGGACAACAUUCCGGAAGGGAUGCUAAUACCGCAUACGUCCUACGGGAGAAAGCAGGGGAUCUUCGGACCUUGCGCUAAUAGAUGAGCCUAAGUCGGAUUAGCUAGUUGGUGGGGUAAAGGCCUACCAAGGCGACUAUCUGUAGCGGGUCUGAGAGGAUGAUCCGCACACUGGGACUGAGACACGGCCCAUACUCCUACGGGAGGCAGCAGUGGGGAAUAUUGGACAAUGGGGGGAACCCUGAUCCAGCCAUGCCGCGUGUGUGAAGAAGGCCUUAUGGUUGUAAAGCACUUUAAGCGAGGAGGAGGCUACUGAGACUAAUACUCUUGGAUAGUGGACGUUACUCGCAGAAUAAGCACCGGCUAACUCUGUGCCAGCAGCCGCGGUAAUACAGAGGGUGCGAGCGUUAAUCG
Molecule: ribosomal RNA, 524 nt
Filed under: uncultured bacterium
Lineage: Bacteria
Description: bacterial SSU rRNA
Rfam family: Bacterial small subunit ribosomal RNA
Source: RNAcentral